RNAcentral lists this long non-coding RNA (1601 nucleotides) under Durio zibethinus. RNAcentral describes it as "long non-coding RNA (DZIB_LNC001709)". Lineage: Eukaryota; Viridiplantae; Streptophyta; Magnoliopsida; Malvales; Malvaceae. The record is from RNAcentral.
GCAUAGCUUUUGUUCGAGUCUGGCGGUAAGGGUGUGCUGUUGCCUGUUGGACAUAAAGUGAUCAUGUUAAGAAUAUUUAAAUAUAGGGGUAUUUGAAAAAAAUUUUAACUCUCAAAAUUAAUAAUUAUAGCCAUCUAAUUUUUUUCCGAGACAAUUAAAGUUUAUUUUCUUCUGCGUUUAAUUUGAACAUUUCAAUUUGAGACUAGUUUAAGCUUUUUAAUUGAAUUUAUCAAAUUGGAUUCCUUCAAACUUUGUUUUGAAUGAAUCAGUUUUGGUCAUUUUGCUUGGAUCCAAAUCCGCUCUAAAUCAAUUUUUGGUAAUCUUACAUGCACUUGGAGGAAACUCGAAGUCCAAAUUUUAAUUUUACAGCUCAAAUUAUGAAUUGAAAAAUUACAAUUUUUUUUUUUUAAAAUUUGCCAGAGUUUUCACCCUCGCUUUCUCUUCAGGCCAAGUCCAGCACUACGCAUUUCCACCUCUAGCUAUGGACUGUUUUUUCCUCAUCUUUUUUCCAUUUACCUUCAACAAGAUUUGAUCAAAACUUCUCACUUUUCCUUCCAGGAAAUGCAGCAUUGCAAGACCCCAAAUGCAGCCACUACUGCUGCAGCAAAACUCCAAAGUCUAGCUACAAACAAAGUCAAAGAGUUCCAUUCGGGGUUCUACAAAACAGAGAUUUCACAAGCCAAAAAGGAGGGACACACGAAGAAAAACACAACGCAAAAGAAGCCGAAGCUCCUACUCUGCCCCACAGAAUAGCCAAGCCUUCCACAACAACAAAAACGCAACACCCAAGCCACCAUCGACAGCCUACCAACUCUGCCUCCACAAGCCACCAUGAAUCCCUCCAUAACCCAAUCUCCCUCCACCUUACUGAAUUGAGUCGAAACCACCUCUGAACCACCCCAACCGCACCGAGAACAGCUCCCGUUCCCCAUCCCUUACAACCUUUUGCACCAAAAUCACCCAAAAAUGGCACCAUCCCAGCCUCUAACCCCAACCAUGAAAAAUCCUAGCCCUUCCAAGAACCGAAACCCGCCACCACCAUUACCCAUUAACCCAUCUGCCCGAGACCCAUCCAAACACAAAAAAAAAAAGUCCUCAUCCCCUUUCGGAGAACAUCAGAAGAAUACACAGAACAAAACAAAGAAAAAUAAGAAAAAAAUAGAGAUAAAAAUGAGACUUCCUUCCUCUUAAGGUUCGGACUUAUGGUGUUUUAAGGAGAUUUGGGAGCUCAAAAUCGGUGUGGGGGAAGGUCACGUGAAGGAGAAAAACAUUUAAAAGGUGGGACUAUUUGGGCGGUCGAGAGCGGCGAAAAUGGGUAGGAAACCGUGGGUUUGACUUUUAGAUCUAGCAAAAUCUAGGUAGAUUCUGGAGAAACUAGUUUUAAAAAUGGAAAGAGGAUGGAAAAAGGACUAACGAGAAGUCGUGGAAACGGUUUCCCACCCAACGGUUUCCUGGUAGUCACUUGCCGUUCGUUGGCGCCAGAACAAGGAUGGAAAAAGGAGUAAGGAGAAUUAUUUUGGGUUGUUCUGGCGUCGACGAACGGCAGUAACUGGCGGCACCAACGUCGGAAUCUGUAAAGAAGGGUGGCUGUCGGCUGGCUU